AGAGUUUGAUCCUGGCUCAGGAUGAACGCUAGCGGCAGGCCUAAUACAUGCAAGUCGAACGGUGAUAGCAAUAUCAUAGUGGCGCACGGGUGCGUAACACGUGUGCAACCUACCUAUUAUUGGGGGAUAGCCUUUGGAAACGGAGAUUAAUACCGCAUAAUACGAUUGACUGGCAUCGGUUGAUUGUUAAAGCUUAGGCGAUAAUAGAUGGGCAUGCGUCCAAUUAGUUAGUUGGUUAGGUAACGGCUGACCAAGACGAUGAUUGGUAGGGGAUCUGAGAGGGUAAUCCCCCACGCUGGCACUGAGAUACGGGCCAGACUCCUACGGGAGGCAGCAGUAGGGAAUAUUGGGCAAUGGGCGGAAGUCUGACCCAGCCAUGCCGCGUGCAGGAAGAAGGCGUUAUGCGUUGUAAACUGCUUUUUUAUAGGAAGAAGGAUCCCUUGCGAGGGAAGGUGACGGUACUAUAAGAAUAAGCACCGGCUAACUCCGUGCCAGCAGCCGCGGUAAUACGGAGGGUGCAAGCGUUGUCCGGAUUUAUUGGGUUUAAAGGGUGCGUAGGCGGUUUAUUAAGUCAGUGGUGAAAGACGGUCGCUCAACGAUUGCAGUGCCACUGAUACUGGUA
Molecule: ribosomal RNA, 622 nt
Filed under: uncultured bacterium
Lineage: Bacteria
Description: bacterial SSU rRNA
Rfam family: Bacterial small subunit ribosomal RNA
Source: RNAcentral